This 483-nucleotide ribosomal RNA is filed under the name uncultured bacterium. Its description in RNAcentral is "partial 16S ribosomal RNA". It matches the Rfam family "Bacterial small subunit ribosomal RNA", at positions 28 to 523 of the family's 1533-position model. The record is from RNAcentral.
GACGAACGCUGGCGGCGUGCUUAACACAUGCAAGUCGAACGAUGAAGCUGGAGCUUGCUCCAGUGGAUUAGUGGCGAACGGGUGAGUAACACGUGAGCAAUCUGCCCUUGACUCUGGGAUAACUGCGGGAAACUGUAGCUAAUACCGGAUACGACACCUUGGGGCAUCCCGGGGUGUGGAAAGAAUUUCGGUCAAGGAUGAGCUCGCGGCCUAUCAGCUUGUUGGUGAGGUAAAGGCUCACCAAGGCGACGACGGGUAGCCGGCCUGAGAGGGUGACCGGCCACACUGGAACUGAGACACGGUCCAGACUCCUACGGGGGGCAGCAGUGGGGAAUAUUGCACAAUGGGCGAAAGCCUGAUGCAGCAACGCCGCGUUAGGGAUGACGGCCUUCGGGUUGUAAACCUCUUUUAGCAGGGAAGAAGCGAAAGUGACGGUACCUGCAGAAAAAGCACCGGCUAACUCUGUGCCAGCCGCCGCGGUAA